CCUACGGGAGGCAGCAGUGGGGAAUAUUGGACAAUGGGGGAAACCCUGAUGCAGCGACGCCGCGUGAGUGAAGAAGUAUUUCGGUAUGUAAAGCUCUAUCAGCAGGGAAGAAAAUGACGGUACCUGACUAAGAAGCCCCGGCUAACUACGUGCCAGCAGCCGCGGUAAUACGUAGGGGGCAAGCGUUAUCCGGAUUUACUGGGUGUAAAGGGAGCGUAGACGGCAGUGCAAGUCUGAAGUGAAAGCCCGGGGCUCAACCCCGGGACUGCUCUGGAAACUGUGUAGCUGGAGUGCGGGAGGGGCAGGCGGAAUUCCUGGUGUAGCGGUGAAAUGCGUAGAUAUCAGGAGGAACACCGGCGGCGAAGGCGGCCUGCUGGACCGUAACUGACGUUGAGGCUCGAAAGCGUGGGGAGCAAACAGGAUUAGAUA
This 429-nucleotide ribosomal RNA is filed under the name Salmonella enterica subsp. enterica. Its description in RNAcentral is "bacterial SSU rRNA". It matches the Rfam family "Bacterial small subunit ribosomal RNA", at positions 338 to 784 of the family's 1533-position model. The record is from RNAcentral. Lineage: Bacteria; Pseudomonadati; Pseudomonadota; Gammaproteobacteria; Enterobacterales; Enterobacteriaceae.